UACGUAGGGUGCAAGCGUUGUCCGGAAUUACUGGGCGUAAAGGGCUCGUAGGCGGCCAACUAAGUCAGACGUGAAAUCCCUCGGCUUAACCGGGGAACUGCGUCUGAUACUGGAUGGCUUGAGGUUGGGAGAGGGAUGCGGAAUUCCAGGUGUAGCGGUGAAAUGCGUAGAUAUCUGGAGGAACACCGGUGGCGAAGGCGGCAUCCUGGACCAAUUCUGACGCUGAGGAGCGAAAGCCAGGGGAGCAAACGGG
This 253-nucleotide ribosomal RNA is filed under the name uncultured bacterium. RNAcentral describes it as "partial 16S ribosomal RNA". It matches the Rfam family "Bacterial small subunit ribosomal RNA", at positions 524 to 776 of the family's 1533-position model. The record is from RNAcentral.